This 962-nucleotide long non-coding RNA is filed under the name Oncorhynchus kisutch (coho salmon). RNAcentral describes it as "lncRNA (ENSOKIG00005028791.1)". Lineage: Eukaryota; Metazoa; Chordata; Actinopteri; Salmoniformes; Salmonidae. The record is from RNAcentral.
AAGUCAACAUGGGCCAGCAUCCCUGUGAAUGUUUUGUACACUCAGUACAUUCAAAAGUAUUGGUACGUGUUCUUGCCGUAACCUGUAAAGCUGGAAGAGCCUGCGAGGCAGGGGGAGGUGUAGGUGAUGCCGUUGUCUGAACACUCAGGGUCCCACUCCCCAGCCAAGCAGAAGCAGUCUCUGUUACACUCUGACAACAGGCUGCCAUCGUACACCAGGGGACCUGGGGGACAGAGAAAAUGGCUGGUAAUAAUGAUGUUUAAAUAAUUGUUGCUGAACUAUCAUUGACACAGGCACAGUGACAAAACAGCCAGGAAUCCGGGCUCAGUAACAACCAUACUGAAUAUUCCCACAAGAGGGAGCCCCGGCACAAGCCCAUGUGUGUUUUGGUCAAGCUCUCCCUCAUAUUCCACUGAUCAAAACUUUUGUUUUUAUCAACCCACCAAACAACCAACCAAUCAGAUGACAUAUUUACCCGUUGUAGGACACGGUCAGCCACCUGAACGUUGUCACACUUAGUGCCAGACUGCAGAGGGAGGAGGAGGUAGGCCAUGAAGGAGGUGACGAAAGACAGCUGGGCUCCAGACACAACGCCAAGCUUAUACCUCUUCGUCAGUAGACCUCCCAGGAAUAUCCCCACUGCACCCACAGAUCACAGUCAUGUCAACAGUGGGCAUCAGGCUUGUAAGAGACAUGAAUUAUCUGUGAGAUUCAGUGAACAAGGCUAGAAGGACUGGGUAUUGGCUCCUACGGGUUACUCUGCCUUCCACUGUGAUGGAGAAUGUCUCUACCCUCUGUGUUCCUGCAUGAACUCCACCACCCACACUAUGAUCCAACUAGUGGUCAGUAUGCACUACUACACCCUCUCUCACAUGAACGCUCACAUUACUGGUUUCAGUGGGAAAGACGGGAAAUGGUUCAGACAUUAAUGGCAAAUAUAAAAAACUAAGAUUGCCAUUGUA